CGAGAACGCCCGGGCCUAGCCGGGGCAAGUACAGUGGCGGACGGGUGCGUAACGCGUAGAUAACCUGCCCUCAGGCGCGGGACAAUCGCGGGAAACCGCGGCUAAUACCGCACGACGUCCGGAUCCCGCAUGGGAGCCGGAUGAAACCUUGGGGUUACCCAGGGGCCUUUGGAUGGGUCUGCGUCGGAUUAGCUUGUUGGUGAGGUAACGGCUCACCAAGGUAGCGAUCCGUAGCUGGUCUGAGAGGACGAUCAGUCACACUGGGACUGAGACACGGCCCAGACUCCUACGGGAGGCAGCAGUGGGGAAUCUUGCACAAUGAGGUCACCCCUGAUGCAGCCAUGCCGCGUGGAGGAAGACACCCCUAUGGGGCGUAAACUCCUUUUCUGAGAGAAGAAGCCCCUGUAGGUUCAGGGCGUGACGGUAUCUCAGGAAUAAGCACCGGCUAACUCCGUGCCAGCAGCCGCGGUAAUACGGAGGGUGCAAGCGUUGUCCGGAAUCACUGGGCGUAAAGGGUGCGCAGGCGGGGCAGCAAGUCGGAGGUGAAAGCCCGUGGCUCAACCACGGAAGUGCCUUCGAAACUGUUGCUCUUGAGUCCCGGAGAGGUUGCCGGAAUUCGUGGUGUAGCGGUGAAAUGCGUAGAUAUCACGAGGAACACCAGAGGCGAAAGCGGGCAACUGGACGGGUACUGACGCUCAGGCACGAAAGCGCGGGGAGC
Molecule: ribosomal RNA, 718 nt
Filed under: uncultured Bacteroidota bacterium
Lineage: Bacteria; Pseudomonadati; Bacteroidota
Description: bacterial SSU rRNA
Rfam family: Bacterial small subunit ribosomal RNA
Source: RNAcentral